This 203-nucleotide small nucleolar RNA is filed under the name Suricata suricatta (meerkat). RNAcentral's name for it is "Small nucleolar RNA U3 (ENSSSUG00005007887.1)". It matches the Rfam family "Small nucleolar RNA U3". Rfam says of the family: Small nucleolar RNAs (snoRNAs) are involved in the processing and modification of rRNA in the nucleolus. The record is from Rfam by way of RNAcentral. Lineage: Eukaryota; Metazoa; Chordata; Mammalia; Carnivora; Herpestidae.
AAGACUAUCCUUUCAGGGAUCAUUUCUAUAGUUGGUUACUAGAGAAGUUUCUCUGAAUGUGUAGAGUACCCGAAGCCACGAGGAGGUGCAGUGUCCCUGAGCGUGAAGCUGACUUUGGGCGUUGUUUCAGGCAGCUGCCUUUUGUCAUUGAUCUUUCUUCUCUUCCUAGGGGAGGAAGAGGGAAGGGAUACCGUCUGAGUGGU